UUCAUUUCAAAUUAAAAUAUUGUUAUCCAUUAUUUCUUUGUGCCUUUCAUAUCUCUCCUCUCCCGCCGUUGAAGCCCUCAAAUUUGUUGGAAUCCCCGCGUUUCAUAAUCACAUUCAGGUGCAGAAAAAUCCACAACAAAAUUUUCUCCAUGAAAACUAAACCUCCCAUCAAAUGAAGCUAAAAAAUGCAGUCAUCACAAGACUGCGAUAAAAACAGUUUUGCGAAGACCACUUGUAGCAUGUGCUUCGAAGAUUCAAGCCCAUCACAGAGGAUCUCCUAUGCAUCUCAACAUGCGGCUAUGUCUUUCACGACCUCUGAUGAUGUGAAGAAGGGUAGAAAUGGUUCAUUUUGUCUCAGAAAUUUCUGAGUCUCAUUCCUUGCUGGGAUUCCAACAAUUUUCAGCUAGAAAAAACAUGCACAGCCUACACCAAUGGUUUGAGUAUUGCCCUAUUGGGAAGAAGAACAGUUGCCCUAUAUGCAAGCAACACUGUAGCCAGUAGAAUGUUACCAGGCUUUUCUUUCAGUCAAUAUCUGAAUGCACGCAUCCUGAUGCUUCAAAAAAAUCAU
Amborella trichopoda is the source of this 568-nucleotide non-coding RNA. The record is from RefSeq and is a predicted model, not a curated record. NCBI's taxonomy places the organism in Eukaryota, Viridiplantae, Streptophyta, Magnoliopsida, Amborellales, Amborellaceae.